RNAcentral lists this non-coding RNA (93 nucleotides) under Neomicrococcus aestuarii. Its description in RNAcentral is "TPP sequence". It matches the Rfam family "TPP riboswitch aptamer (THI element)". Rfam says of the family: Vitamin B(1) in its active form thiamin pyrophosphate (TPP) is an essential coenzyme that is synthesised by coupling of pyrimidine and thiazole moieties in bacteria. The previously detected thiamin-regulatory element, thi box was extended, resulting in a new, highly conserved RNA secondary structure, the THI element, which is widely distributed in eubacteria and also occurs in some archaea. Analysis of operon structures identified a large number of new candidate thiamin-regulated genes, mostly transporters, in various prokaryotic organisms. The record is from Rfam by way of RNAcentral. Lineage: Bacteria; Bacillati; Actinomycetota; Actinomycetes; Micrococcales; Micrococcaceae.
ACGGUAGACACGGGGUGCCCCGCCAGGGGCUGAGAUUACACCCGAGAACCUGAUCGAGUUCGGACUCGCGGAGGGAUGUCGACGCCGCCUUUG